This 335-nucleotide ribosomal RNA is filed under the name uncultured bacterium. Its description in RNAcentral is "bacterial SSU rRNA". It matches the Rfam family "Bacterial small subunit ribosomal RNA", at positions 1 to 334 of the family's 1533-position model. The record is from RNAcentral.
CUGUACAGUUCAGAGUUUGAUCCUGGCUCAGAUUGAACGCUAGCGGGAUGCCUUACACAUGCAAGUCGAACGGCAGCACGGACUUCGGUCUGGUGGCGAGUGGCGAACGGGUGAGUAAUGUAUCGGAACGUGCCUAGUAGCGGGGGAUAACUACGCGAAAGCGUAGCUAAUACCGCAUACGCCCUACGGGGGAAAGCAGGGGAUCGCAAGACCUUGCACUAUUAGAGCGGCCGAUAUCGGAUUAGCUAGUUGGUGGGGUAACGGCUCACCAAGGCGACGAUCCGUAGCUGGUUUGAGAGGACGACCAGCCACACUGGGACUGAGACACGGCCCAG